GAUGAAGAACGGCAGCGAAAUGCGAUACUUGGUGUGAAUUGCAGAAUCCCGUGAACCAUCGAGUCUUUGAACGCAAGUUGCGCCCGAAGCCAUUAGGCCGAGGGCACGCCUGCCUGGGCGUCACACGUCGUUGCCCCCCCAUCUACUCCUUCGGGAUUGCGGGGGGCGGAUGAUGGCCUCCCGUGCGCCUCGCCGCGCGGUUGGCAUAAAUGCCAAGUCCUCGGCGACGCACGCCACGACAAUCGGUGGUUGCGAAACCUCGGUUGCCCGUCGUGUGCGGUCGUCGCGCAUCGAGGGCUCGAAAAAAUUGCCGGGUUCCGGCUCGGCUUUCAACGCGACCCCAGGUCAGGCGGGGUUACCCGCUGAAUUUAAGCAUAUCAAUAAGCGGAGGA
Molecule: unclassified non-coding RNA, 392 nt
Filed under: soil metagenome
Description: partial contains 5.8S ribosomal RNA, internal transcribed spacer 2, and large subunit ribosomal RNA
Rfam family: 5.8S ribosomal RNA (bases 1-123)
Source: RNAcentral